RNAcentral lists this ribosomal RNA (618 nucleotides) under uncultured archaeon. RNAcentral describes it as "bacterial SSU rRNA". It matches the Rfam family "Archaeal small subunit ribosomal RNA", at positions 102 to 720 of the family's 1478-position model. The record is from RNAcentral.
GGAUAACUUACCCUUAGGACUGGGAUAACUCUGGGAAACUGGGGAUAAUACUGGAUAUUAGGCUAUGCCUGGAAUGGUUUGCCUUUGAAAUGUUUUUUCGCCUAAGGAUAGGUCUGCGGCUGAUUAGGUCGUUGGUGGGGUAAUGGCCCACCAAGCCGAUGAUCGGUACGGGUUGUGAGAGCAAGGGCCCGGAGAUGGAACCUGAGACAAGGUUCCAGACCCUACGGGGUGCAGCAGGCGCGAAACCUCCGCAAUGUACGAAAGUGCGACGGGGGGAUCCCAAGUGUUAUGCUUUUUUGUAUGACUUUUCAUUAGUGUAAAAAGCUUUUAGAAUAAGAGCUGGGCAAGACCGGUGCCAGCCGCCGCGGUAACACCGGCAGCUCGAGUGGUAGCUGUUUUUAUUGGGCCUAAAGCGUUCGUAGCCGGUUUGAUAAGUCUUUGGUGAAAGCUUGUAGCUUAACUAUAAGAAUUGCUGGAGAUACUAUUAGACUUGAAGUCGGGAGAGGUUAGAGGUACUACCGGGGUAGGGGUGAAAUCCUAUGAUCCUGGGAGGACCACCUGUGGCGAAAGCGUCUAACUGGAACGAUCUUGACGGUGAGUAACGAAAGCCAGGGGCGC